UACCUACGGGAGGCAGCAGUGGGGAAUAUUGGGCAAUGGGCGCAAGCCUGACCCAGCAAUGCCGCGUGAAGGAAGAAGGCUUUCGGGUUGUAAACUUCUUUGACAGGGGAAGAGCAGAAGACGGUACCCUGAAAACAAGCCACGGCUAACUACGUGCCAGCAGCCGCGGUAAUACGUAGGUGGCAAGCGUUGUCCGGAUUUACUGGGUGUAAAGGGCGUGCAGCCGGGAAGACAAGUCAGAUGUGAAAUCCCGCGGCUCAACCGCGGAACUGCAUUUGAAACUGUUUUUCUUGAGUACCGGAGAG
RNAcentral lists this ribosomal RNA (305 nucleotides) under uncultured bacterium. RNAcentral's name for it is "bacterial SSU rRNA". It matches the Rfam family "Bacterial small subunit ribosomal RNA", at positions 335 to 656 of the family's 1533-position model. The record is from RNAcentral.